Molecule: RNA transcript, 2006 nt
Organism: Vigna angularis (adzuki bean)
Lineage: Eukaryota; Viridiplantae; Streptophyta; Magnoliopsida; Fabales; Fabaceae
Gene name: transcription initiation factor TFIID subunit 8
Exons: 2
Source: RefSeq, a predicted model, not a curated record
UGGGCAAAAGCUCCUAGUAGUUCCUGUGGCUUUGAUUGACCAAAAAACUAGCUCACUUCUCUAUAUAUAAUAUAAACCUUUCCCAGCUCCCUUCUUUACCGUUCAUAUUCUUCCAUUUCAUUUGAUCCCUCUAUUCUUUGAAUUCUCAUUCCUUCCACAAUUCUCACUCCAACUUCUUAAUCUUCGACCCAAUCAUCUUUUCAUUCAUUAUCGGACUAACCUUCAGUUUCAUUGCUCCAACACACUCAAUCACCACCACCACCACCACCCUCACCCUUCUCUUUGCAAGGUCUAUAAAUCACACUAGGUUUUUGUUCCUUUCUUUAACUCUUUCAUCUCUUUAUACUGCUUUCCCAAACGAGGCAUUCUUCAAUUGCAGCGUGUCAAAGAUUCAAACCCCAUGGAACGCGAACAAUGCCGCGCGUGGAAACCCUAAUUGCGCCCCCGACCAACCAUGACCAACGGCGGAGGAAGAGCCGCGCCGGACGACUACGGCCGAGCCGCAGCACGUCUCGCGGUGGCGCAGCUCUGCAACGCCGCUGGGUUCCACGGCGCCACCUCCUCUGCGCUGGACGCCUUCGCCGACGUCGCAAUCCGCUACCUCCUCGACCUAGGCAGAACCGCGGAGUCCCAUGCGAACCACGCCGGCCGAUCACAGUGCACCGUCUUCGACGCGAUUCGCGGCUUCGAGGACCUGGGAGCGCCGCGAGCCUUCUCCAGCCCCGGUGGAGUCAGAGAUAUCGUGAGUUUCGUGGAAUCGGCGGACGAGGUUCCGUUCGCUCAGCCGAUUCCUCGGUUUCCGGUCGUUCAGGAACGACGUCGCAUUCCGAGUUUUGAUCAGAUGGGGGAGACUCCACCGUCGAAGCAUAUUCCCGCGUGGUUACCGGCUUUGCCAGAUCCCCAUACGUAUAUUCACACUCCAGUGUGGGAUGAGAGGGUUUCUGAUCCUCGUGAAGAUAAAAUUGAACAAGCUAGGCAGCGUAGGAAGGCAGAGAGGUCGUUGUUGAGUUUGCAGAAACGGUUGUUGUUGCGAAAUGGGUCAACGGAAGCUAAAGCAAGAACAUCAGCUUCGCCAGAUAGUACUGUUUUGGAAACUCAAGGCGUUGGUGAUGACCAUAAGGAUGUUGAUAAAGAUGUCGCUCCGGUUGUUAAGGUUUCAGUUUUGGAUGAGGGUAAUGUUGGUGACAGGAACCGUGUUUCGGUGUUGGAUGCGUUUGCUCCGGCAAUUGAGAUGCUUGGGAGUGGAGGGUUGGGUGGUGAUGAAGAUGAUGGAUUGGUGGAGAGAGACAGAAGUGAGCUUCCUGUUGUGAGACCUACUGUGCAUUUUAAGUUUAAGACUGGGAAAAAGUUCAUUGGGGAGUCUUUGGAUAUGAGAAUUCGGAAUAAGGAUGCGUCACGGACGGUGGCAUUGGUUGGGAGAGAAGAUGAGAGGGAUGAUAAGAAAAGGAGGGCUGAGUAUAUUCUCAAACAGUCUAUGGAGAACCCGCAGGAACUCACUCUGUUGUAGAUUGAUUAGUGUAUUUACGGACUUGGGCGUGUGGUUGAUUUGCGUUAAAGAGGGCUGAGAGAGGAUCGGAAAUUAAGGGCUUGCGAUGCUUUGUUAUUUUUUUAGGCACCACUCAGUUGAUAUAAUCAUGGUAAUAAAGAUUGCGAGUUAAGUAGUACACUCAGGUGAUUUUACAAUCCCAGAACCUUGGUUUGAGUCAUCUCACAAGCAAACUCAAUUUGGUAAACUCGUAGAAGGAUCACAUUGACUCGGACAAACACAUGAGUUCAGGUUCGAGUGCUGAAUUUAGGUCCGAGUGGGGUGAGUUCGGUUGCAUAUUCUUACAAUAAAAACACCUACCUUGUUGUUUUGGGUCCCAAAAAUGGAAGAAAGAUUAGGGAUCUUGAAUUGCAGCUUCCGUCUGUUAUUCCUCUAAUUGCAGUUACUAAGCAUAGCUAUUCUUCAAAAUUUAUCUUCCACAUGGCAACAUUGUUAUUUAUCGACUGGUUUCUCUUCACAA